GAUGAACGCUGGCGGCGUGCCUAAUACAUGCAAGUCGAGCGAACGGACGAGAAGCUUGCUUCUCUGAUGUUAGCGGCGGACGGGUGAGUAACACGUGGAUAACCUACCUAUAAGACUGGGAUAACUUCGGGAAACCGGAGCUAAUACCGGAUAAUAUUUUGAACCGCAUGGUUCAAAAGUGAAAGACGGUCUUGCUGUCACUUAUAGAUGGAUCCGCGCUGCAUUAGCUAGUUGGUAAGGUAACGGCUUACCAAGGCAACGAUGCAUAGCCGACCUGAGAGGGUGAUCGGCCACACUGGAACUGAGACACGGUCCAGACUCCUACGGGAGGCAGCAGUAGGGAAUCUUCCGCAAUGGGCGAAAGCCUGACGGAGCAACGCCGCGUGAGUGAUGAAGGUCUUCGGAUCGUAAAACUCUGUUAUUAGGGAAGAACAUAUGUGUAAGUAACUGUGCACAUCUUGACGGUACCUAAUCAGAAAGCCACGGCUAACUACGUA
Molecule: ribosomal RNA, 497 nt
Filed under: uncultured bacterium
Lineage: Bacteria
Description: partial 16S ribosomal RNA
Rfam family: Bacterial small subunit ribosomal RNA
Source: RNAcentral